Molecule: ribosomal RNA, 269 nt
Filed under: uncultured bacterium
Lineage: Bacteria
Description: partial 16S ribosomal RNA
Rfam family: Bacterial small subunit ribosomal RNA
Source: RNAcentral
UACGUAGGGGGCGAGCGUUGCCCGGAUUCAUUGGGCGUAAAGGGCGCGUAGGCGGCAUGCCAAGCGUGUGGUGAAAGCCCGGGGCUCAACCCCGGGUCGGCCGUGCGGACUGGCGUGCUCGAGCACUGUAGGGGCGGGUGGAAUUCCGGGUGUAGCGGUGGAAUGCGUAGAGAUCCGGAAGAACACCGGUGGCGAAGGCGGCCCGCUGGGCAGGAAGGCUCGCAAGAGCCGGCUGACGCUGAGGCGCGACAGCGUGGGGAGCAAACAGG